UACGUAGGGCGCAAGCGUUAUCCGGAAUUAUUGGGCGUAAAGAGCUCGUAGGCGGUCUGUCGCGUCCGUUGUGAAAACUCGAGGCUCAACCUCGGGCUUGCAGUGGAUACGGGCAGACUAGAGUGCGGUAGGGGAGACUGGAAUUCCUGGUGUAGCGGUGGAAUGCGCAGAUAUCAGGAGGAACACCGAUGGCGAAGGCGACUACCUGGCCUGUUCUUGACGCUGAGGCGCGAAAGCUAGGGGAGCAAACGGG
RNAcentral lists this ribosomal RNA (253 nucleotides) under uncultured bacterium. RNAcentral describes it as "partial 16S ribosomal RNA". It matches the Rfam family "Bacterial small subunit ribosomal RNA", at positions 524 to 776 of the family's 1533-position model. The record is from RNAcentral.